CCAAUGGUGAGAUACCACUCUAGCAUGGCUAAAAUUCUAACUUUGAACCGUUAUCCGGUCGAAGAACAGUUUCAGGUGGGCAGUUUGACUGGGGCGGUCGCCUCCUAAAAGGUAACGGAGGCGUGCAAAGGUUCCCUCAGGCUGGUCGGACAUCAGUCGUAGAGUGUAAAGGCAUAAGGGAGCUUGACUGCGAGACAUACAAGUCGAGCAGAGACGAAAGUCGGCCUUAGUGAUCCGACGGUUCCGAGUGGAAGGGCCGUCGCUCAACGGAUAAAAGUUACUCUAGGGAUA
This 291-nucleotide ribosomal RNA is filed under the name uncultured eukaryote. RNAcentral's name for it is "partial large subunit ribosomal RNA". It matches the Rfam family "Bacterial large subunit ribosomal RNA", at positions 2186 to 2476 of the family's 2925-position model. The record is from RNAcentral.